This 414-nucleotide long non-coding RNA is filed under the name Phasianus colchicus (ring-necked pheasant). Its description in RNAcentral is "lncRNA (ENSPCLG00000006665.1)". The record is from RNAcentral. Lineage: Eukaryota; Metazoa; Chordata; Aves; Galliformes; Phasianidae.
GUGCAGGAUCUGGUCCCUAAAGCUGCUCCAUCACGUUGCCAAGUAACCAGAGAAGGAAUAUGUUUUGUUUUCCAUGGAGGGCAGGAGGGAUCAGGGUGCUCAUGUGAAAGAUCACAGAGCCUAUGGACAUGUGUGAUCAGUGGGGAGACUGAAUCCAACAUGAUCCUUCCACUUAGAGACAUUCUGUACCCUAAGGUUUUUCUUGCACUAAAUCUCAUGCCAGCAAGAAGCAAGAUGCAUUAUGUUUGUAUGUGAGUUUUGUGUUCUGACAUUAGCUGUUUUUGUAUGUUUAUUUGUUUUUAAUGGACAGAUUCAGAGUAUUUAAUUCAGACACCCAAAAUAGCAGAUCCACAACCGGCUGCCGAUUUGAAUCUUGUAUAAAUCAGUGAGGUACCAGGGCUCUCUAUAUAAUCC